Molecule: RNA transcript, 5539 nt
Organism: Artibeus jamaicensis (Jamaican fruit-eating bat)
Lineage: Eukaryota; Metazoa; Chordata; Mammalia; Chiroptera; Phyllostomidae
Gene: NLRC4
Gene name: NLR family CARD domain containing 4
Exons: 11
Source: RefSeq, a predicted model, not a curated record
CAUUCUCUCACCCAGGGGUGUGAAUCCAUGACCUGUGGGCAGCACGCAACCCAGGAUGGCUAUAAAUGCAGCCGGACACAAAAUCGUAAAUUUACUGGAAAGUUUUUGUGCUCAUAGGUUUUUGUUAGUGUUUGUGUAUUUAAUGUGUGGCCCAAGACAACUCCUCUUCUUUCUGUGUGGCCCAGAGAUGCCCGAAGGUCUGACACACCCUGCUAAAGAAAUGCCAGGAGAUUUCUCCAUUUCCAAACCUUAAGGCAAACUGGCUUCCUGGAGUUUGUGACUACAAGCUUUGACUGUGUUUGAACAGUGGGAGCCUGUGGCUCUUUAUGUUCAGGAGAAUGGCCUGUGCAUUGACAGUGGAGCGAACUGACAGCAGUGAUCCAUUUGCUCUGUGCUAACCUUGCCCAGGACCCUGGUGGCAGAGAGUAUGCAUUUGCCGGAAGUCUUCUGUGAUCCAAAGUACAGACGAACAUGGAGACCCCAAAUCCACAGGACACGGGCCCUCACAAAUGAAGCAGAAAGCAUAUAAAAAGAAACUUCAUUUUAAAGGCAUCUACUUCACCAAGAACAGGGCAACUGGAUUGUUCAGCCAGUUUUACAGAAAGAAGAAGCCAAUAUUGGGAUCAUCUUCGACUUGUCCAUUUGGAGAUAAUACCAUCUACUCAGCUGUAGAAGGGUGGAAAGCUUUUAUUCGGAACAAUGAAUUUCAUUAAGGAGAACAGCCAAGCUCUCAUUCAAAGGAUGGGAAUGACUGUUAUAAAGCAAGUUGUAGAUGAGCUCUUUGUGUGGAAUGUUCUGAAUUUUGAAGAAGUAAACGUCAUUUGCUGCAAGAAGGUCGAGCAGGACGCUGCAAGAGGGAUCAUUCACAUGAUUCUGAAGAAGGGCUCAGAAGCCUGUAACCUCUUUCUGAAAUCCCUUGAAAGGUGGAACUAUCCUCUGUUUCAGGACUUGAAUGGACAAAGCCUUUUUCAUCAGAUGUCAGAAGAAGACUUAGAUGAUUUGGCUGAGAAUUUAAAAGAUUUAUACUACUCCCCGUCUUUUCUGAAUUUCUAUCCCCUGGGCGAAGAUAUUGACAUUAUUUUUAAUUUAAAAAGAACCUUCACAGAACCUGUUUUGUGGAGGAAGGACCAACACCAUCACCGUCUGGAGCAGCUGACCCUGUGUGGUCUGCUGGACACUCUGCAGAGCCCCUGCAUUGUUGAAGGGGAAUCAGGCAAAGGGAAGUCCACACUGCUACAGCGAAUCGCCAUGCUUUGGGCCUCUGGAGAGUGCAGGGCUCUUACCAAGUUCAAAUUAGUCUUCUUUGUCCAUCUGAGCAGGGCCCAGGGUGGGCUCUUUGAAACCCUGUGUGAUCAGCUCUUGGAUAUACCUGACACAAUCAGAAAGCAGACUUUCAUGGCCAUGCUGCUGAAGCUGCGCCAGAGGGUUCUUUUCCUCCUUGAUGGCUACAAUGAAUUCAAGGCCCAGAACUGCCCUGAAAUUGAAGCUCUGAUAAAGGAAAACCACCGCUUCAAGAAUAUGGUUGUGGUCACCACCACCACUGAGUGCCUGAGGCACAUCAGGCAGUUUGGUGCCCUGAUUGCAGAGGUGGGGGACAUGACGGUGGCGAGUGCCCAGGCUCUCAUCCGGGAGGUGCUGAUAACGGAGCUUGCGGAAGGCUUGGUGCUCCAGAUUCAGAAAUCCAGGUGCUUGAGGAAUUUGAUGAAGACUCCGCUCUUUGUGGUCAUCGCUUGUGUAAUCCAGAUGGGGGAAAGUGAGUUCCACUCUCACACACAAACAACGCUGUUCUGUACCUUCUAUGACCUGCUGAUACAUAAAAACAGGCACAAGUGCAAAGGGGUUGCUGCGAAUGACUUCACUCGGAGCCUGGACCACUGUGGAGACCUAGCUCUGGAGGGCGUGUUCAACCACAGGUUUGAUUUUGAACCGAAGGAUGUCUCCAGUGUUAAUGAGGAUGUCCUACUGACAACUGGACUCCUCUGCAAAUACACAGCUCAACGGUUCAAGCCAAUUUAUAAAUUCUUUCAUAAAUCAUUCCAGGAGUACGUAGCAGGACGCAGACUCAGCAGCUUAUUGGUGUCUCAGGAGCCAGAGGAGGUGACCAAGGGGAACAGUCAUUUGCAGAAAAUGGUUUACAUUUCAGACAUUACAUCCAAGUAUAGCAACCUGCUCCUGUACACAUGUGGCUCAUCUGCUGAGGCCACCAGGACUGUUCUGAAACACCUUGCAGCUGUACACCAACAUGGCAGCCUCCUUGGGCUCUCCGUCACCAAGAGGCCUCUCUGGAGGCAGGAAUCUAUGCAAAAUGUGAAAAACACUACUGUGCAAGAAAUUCGGAAAGCCAUAAAUGUCAAUUCCUUUACAGAGUGUGGCAUCAAUUUAUUUCAUGAGAGUAUAUCCAAAUCAGACCUGAGUGAAGAAUUUGAAGCUUUCUUUCAUGGUAAAAGCUUAUAUAUCAACUCAGAGAACAUCCCUGAUUACUUAUUUGACUUCUUUGAACACUUGCCUAAUUGUGCAAGUGCUCUGGACUUCAUUAAACUGGAUUUCUAUGGGGGAGCCAUGACUUUGUGGGACAAGACCACAGAGGACAUGAGCGGGACCCACAAGGAAGAGUCCUCUGGAACCUACAUUCCCAGAAGGGCUGUGUCUUUGUUCUUCAACUGGAAGCAGGAGUUCAAGACUCUGGAGGUCACACUCCGGGAUUUCAGCAAGUUAAAUCAGCAAGAUAUCAAGUAUCUGGGGAAAAUAUUCAGUUCUGCUACAAGCCUCACACUGUCCAUUAAGAGAUGUGCAGGCAUGGCUGGAAACCUCAGUUCGGUCCUCAGAACCUGUAAGAACAUUCGCUCCCUUGCAGUGGAGGCCAGUCCCCUCACCCUGGAAGAUGAGCAGCACAUCACUUCAGUGACCAGCCUGAAAACCUUGAGUAUUCACAACCUACAGAUGCAACGGCUGCCAGGUGGUCUGACUGACAGCUUGGGUAAUUUGAAGAACCUCGUGAAGCUUAUGCUGGAUAACAUUAAGAUGAAUGAGGAAGAUGCUAUAAAACUAGCGGAAGGUCUGACAAACCUGAAGAAUAUGUGUUUACUUCAUUUGACCCGCCUGUCUGACAUUGGGGAGGGAAUGGAUUACAUAGUAAAGUCUUUGUCAGCUGAACCCAGUGACCUGGAAGAAAUCCAAUUAAUCUCCUGCUGUCUGUCGGCAAAUGCUGUGAAAACCCUAGCUCAGAAUCUUCACAAUUUGGCCAAACUCAGCAUUCUUGAUUUAUCUGAAAAUCACCUGGAAAAGGAUGGAAACGAAGCCCUACAGGAACUGAUUGACAGGCUGCAUGUCUUGGAACAGCUAAGUGUACUGAGGCUGCCCUGGUGGCGUGAUGUCCGAGUCAGUCUGACCAGGCUGCUGGAACAGCUGGAGCGGGCCCCGCAACUCGUCAAACUUGGGCUGAAAAACUGGAGACUCGAAGAUGCCGAGAUGAGAAUUCUAGAUGUUGAGUCUUACAUAUUGAAGGCAACACCCUCCACUGGCGAAAGGAUCAGGACUCCCUUUGAUGCGGUGGUCUGGAGUCACCCCUGCAAUGUCUCCGAGGCCUGCCUGCAUGCAACAAUGAAACAGAAAACUAAAGUAAAGAUUAGGGAAGCCUAAAAUUCGUUCUUUAAAAAAAGAGUAACAAUGCCCUGGCUGGUGUGGCUCAGUGCAUUGAGCGCUGGCCUGUGAACCUAAAGGUUGCCAGUUCGAUUCCCAAUCAGGGCCCUUGCCUGGGUUUCAGGCCAGUUCCCAACUGGGGGGCACGCGAGAAGCAUCCGAUUGAUGUUUCUCUCACAUAUCGAUAUUUCUCUCCCUCUCUGUCUCCCUCCUUUCCCUUCUCUCCAAACAUAAAUAAAUAACAUCUUAAAUAAAUAAAAAGAGUAACAAAAUAGAUAAAAUCAAGCAACACUGUUCAAGAAAAAAAGUGACAUAAUUUCACUCAUCAAAAUGGAGACACAGGCCCAAGUUCGUAGUGACUGAACAUUGCCCCAAACUGGAAGCUACUGAGAUGCCUUUUGGCAGGUGAACGGAUGAACAAACUGCGGUGCAGCCAUGCAGUAGUGUGUCAUUCGGGGGUAAGAAGAAAUGAGCCACUGAGCCAUUAAGUUUCCAAGGGGAAACUUAAAUAUAUAUUGCCAAGUGGGAGAAAAAGCAAGUCUUAAAAUGCCACCAAAUGUAUGAUUCAAUUUAUAUGGCAUUCUGGAAAAAGCAAAACUAUUGAGAGAGCAAAAAAGCUCAGUAGUUGCCAGGGGCUUAGGAGGAGGGAGGGUUAGGGUUAAAGAGAGGCAGCUCGGGGGACUCUUCAGGGUGGUGGAAAUAGUCUGUAUGAUGCUCUGAUCAUGCGUACUCGACCCUGCGUCUGUCAAGCCCAUAGAACUUUGCAGCAGCACAAGCGGCGAACCUUAAUGUACGCAAACUAAAAACAUCACUGAGGAGAUCUGGGACAUGGAGGUCAAAAUGCAGAAUGCAAAACAGCCUAACCACGUUACAGACUCUGAAACAAUCUCACUGAGGCGGAUGGGGGAAAGAAAUGGACCUAAAUGGUUUGGGGAAUGAUUUGGAAAACUAAAGGCAAAAUAACUUGUACCUAAGCACUGUACUUUAUUUGAUAGUUGACUCCAGUUGGGGUACAGGUUAACAACUCUGAUACUGCGGCAUACUUACGCUGGGACUGAGCAGUUAAGUAAACGGACGGCAGAGGACGGGGAGCCAGGUUCCCUGUGUGGGGAUGGGAAUUUACAGCAAGGGGAGCAGCCCAGGCUGGUUCAUGGUAAUAAAUUAGAAUUGGAGACAGCAGUAUGAGCUCAUGUCGUGUGUAGCUCAAUGUAGAUAUAGAUGUUACAUAGGGGAAACUAUAUGUAUAUGAAAGAUAAACAUAUGUAGUAUAAACAACCCAAAUGCUCCUCACUAGUGAAUAGAUUAAAAAAAUGUGGUACGUGCACACUACAGAGUAUUAUUCAGCCAUUAAAAGGAAUGGGCUAUUGGAACAGGCUACGAGAUGGAUGAACCUUAAAAAUAUCAUAUGAAGUGAAACCAGUCACAAAAAACCACAUGUUGUGCGAUUCUAUUUAUAGGAAGUGUCCGACAUAGGCAAAUUUAUAAUGACAGAAUGUAGAUUUGUGGUUGCCAAGGUCUGGGGGAGGGGGACUCAGGGGUCCGGGUUGCUUUCUGAGGAUGAUCAAAAUGUACCAGACAUUUUAAUUUGCUUGAUUUCUCCGUAGCAGCCGAUGCUGAGCAUUUCCUCCUUUUCAAAGUGUCCUCUUGACUUCCACGCCAGCUUAGCUACUCCUCAGUCUCCUUUGCAACAGCAGUUCCACUGCUCAGCUAUAAAAUGUUCCCAAUUUCCUUAGAACUUGGUCCUUUUCCUCAGGGACUACCUUUGAACUGCAAUGACCAUUUUCUACAAUUAUGACUCACAAAAUUUUGUUUCUAGCCCAUUGGCACUCUGGGACUACCAGAAAGAAAUUGUUACUAGCUCAGGGAUCUAUUUCACUUGUUCUAACAAACCCUGUAAAAA